RNAcentral lists this small nuclear RNA (292 nucleotides) under Neotoma lepida (desert woodrat). RNAcentral describes it as "7SK RNA". It matches the Rfam family "7SK RNA". From Rfam's summary of the family: 7SK was discovered as an abundant small nuclear RNA in the mid-70s but a possible function has only recently been suggested. Lineage: Eukaryota; Metazoa; Chordata; Mammalia; Rodentia; Cricetidae. The record is from Rfam by way of RNAcentral.
AGACGUGAGGAUGAUCUGGUUGUGAAAACUGUCAACUGCUGAUCGCCAGGGUUGAUACAGCUGAUCUGACAGGCUGAACAGGUGUCCCCUUCCUCCCUCAAGUCCUCUUCUUCCCCCAUAUCCCCCCCCAUCACUCCACGUGCAUGCCACUUGAAGCUGCAUGCUUCCCCAAAUAGAAAAGGACUCAGAGUAUAAGUACCUGCUCUCUCUGUCCAGAACCUCCAAGCAAGCUCUCAGGACUGAAGGAACUACAUUCUACUGUGACCAAUCUGUUUGAAAAUUUGGCCAUUGU